GUGCUCACUUCGGCUGCUCAUAUACUAAUAAGAUUGGAAAGAUAGGGGGAAGAUUAGCAUGGGCCCUGCACAAGGAUGACAUGCAAAUUCAUGAAGCGUUCCAUAUUUUU
Molecule: small nuclear RNA, 110 nt
Filed under: Microcebus murinus (gray mouse lemur)
Lineage: Eukaryota; Metazoa; Chordata; Mammalia; Primates; Cheirogaleidae
Source: RNAcentral